RNAcentral lists this ribosomal RNA (504 nucleotides) under uncultured bacterium. RNAcentral's name for it is "partial 16S ribosomal RNA". It matches the Rfam family "Bacterial small subunit ribosomal RNA", at positions 30 to 523 of the family's 1533-position model. The record is from RNAcentral.
AUUGAACGCUGGCGGCAUGCCUUACACAUGCAAGUCGAACGGCAGCAUGGAGAGCUUGCUCUCUGAUGGCGAGUGGCGAACGGGUGAGUAAAGCAUCGGAACGUACCGUGUAGUGGGGGAUAACGUAGCGAAAGUUACGCUAAUACAGCAUACGCACUGAGGUGGAAAGCAGGGGAUCGCGUGACCUUGCGCUAUACGAGCGGCCGAUGUCAGAUUAGCUAGUUAGUAGGGUAAAGGCCUACCAAGGCGACGAUCGGUAACUGGUCUGAGAGGAUGAUCAGUAACACUGGAACUGAGACACGGUCCAGACUCCUACGGGAGGCAGCAGUGGGGAAUAUUACACAAUGGGGGCAACCCUGAUCCAGCCAUGCCGCGUGUGUGAAGAAGGCCUUCGGGUUGUAAAGCACUUUAAGCUGGGAGGAAGGCCCUGUGGCUAAUAUCCACGGGGAUUGACGUUACCAGCAGAAUAAGCACCGGCAAACUUCGUGCCAGCCGCCGCAGUAA